RNAcentral lists this ribosomal RNA (395 nucleotides) under uncultured Antarctic cyanobacterium. RNAcentral describes it as "bacterial SSU rRNA". The stretch from base 66 to 392 matches the Rfam family "Bacterial small subunit ribosomal RNA", at positions 558 to 872 of the family's 1533-position model. The record is from RNAcentral. Lineage: Bacteria; Bacillati; Cyanobacteriota.
CUUGCCUCCCACGGACUCGGCCGCGUCGACGGACAAUCCACGUUUUUCCGCGCCGUAGCCUUAACGCAUUAAGUGCCCCGCCUGGGAGUAGGCGGGUUUGUCACGUCUGCUGUGAAAGCCCGGGGCUCAACCCCGGGUGUGCAGUGGGUACGGGCAGACUAGAGUGCAGUAGGGGAGACUGGAAUUCCUGGUGUAGCGGUUGAAAUGCGUAGAGAUCAGGAAGAACAUCGGUGGCGAAGGCGCUCUGCUGGACCAUAACUGACACUCAGGGACGAAAGCUAGGGGAGCGAAUGGGAUUAGAUACCCCAGUAGUCCUAGCCGUAAACGAUGGAUACUAGGUGUUGUCUGUAUCGACCCGGACAGUGCCGUAGCUAACGCGUUAAGUAUCCCGCCUG